RNAcentral lists this ribosomal RNA (492 nucleotides) under uncultured bacterium. Its description in RNAcentral is "partial 16S ribosomal RNA". It matches the Rfam family "Bacterial small subunit ribosomal RNA", at positions 29 to 507 of the family's 1533-position model. The record is from RNAcentral.
AGUGAACGCUGGCGGUAGGCCUAACACAUGCAAGUCGAACGGCAGCACAGUAAGAGCUUGCUCUUACGGGUGGCGAGUGGCGGACGGGUGAGGAAUACAUCGGAAUCUACUUUUUCGUGGGGGAUAACGUAGGGAAACUUACGCUAAUACCGCAUACGACCUACGGGUGAAAGCAGGGGAUCUUCGGACCUUGCGCGAUUGAAUGAGCCGAUGUCGGAUUAGCUAGUUGGCGGGGUAAAGGCCCACCAAGGCGACGAUCCGUAGCAGGUCUGAGAGGAUGAUCAGCCACACUGGAACUGAGACACGGUCCAGACUCCUACGGGAGGCAGCAGUGGGGAAUAUUGGACAAUGGGCGCAAGCCUGAUCCAGCCAUACCGCGUGGGUGAAGAGGGCCUUCGGGUUGUAAAGCCCUUUUGUUGGGAAAGAAAAGCAGCAGGUUAAUACCCCGCUGUUCUGACGGUACCCAAAGAAUAAGCACCGGCUAACUUCGUG